UAAGGAAUAUUGGUCAAUGGGGGCAACCCUGAACCAGCCAUGCCGCGUGCAGGAAGACGGCCCUACGGGUUGUAAACUGCUUUUAUACGGGAAUAAACCUCUGCUCGUGAGCAGAGUUGAAUGUACUGUAAGAAUAAGGAUCGGCUAACUCCGUGCCAGCAGCCGCGGUAAUACGGAGGAUCCAAGCGUUAUCCGGAUUUAUUGGGUUUAAAGGGUGCGUAGGCGGCCUAUUAAGUCAGGGGUGAAAGACGGUGGCUCAACCAUCGCAGUGCCUUUGAUACUGAUAGGCUUGAUUACACUUGAGGUAGGCGGAAUGUGACAAGUAGCGGUGAAAUGCAUAGAUAUGUCACAGAACACCAAUUGCGAAGGCAGCUUACUAAGGUGUUAAUGACGCUGAGGCACGAAAGCGUGGGGAUCAAACA
This 422-nucleotide ribosomal RNA is filed under the name uncultured Pedobacter sp. Its description in RNAcentral is "bacterial SSU rRNA". It matches the Rfam family "Bacterial small subunit ribosomal RNA", at positions 355 to 774 of the family's 1533-position model. The record is from RNAcentral. Lineage: Bacteria; Pseudomonadati; Bacteroidota; Sphingobacteriia; Sphingobacteriales; Sphingobacteriaceae.